CCUACGGGUGGCAGCAGUGAGGAAUAUUGGUCAAUGGCCGUAAGGCUGAACCAGCCAAGUCGCGUGAGGGAAGAAGGUUCUAUGGUUUGUAAACCUCUUUUAUGGGGGAGUAAAGGUAUCCACGCGUGGCUAUUUGCAUGUACCCGAUGAAUAAGCAUCGGCUAACUCCGUGCCAGCAGCCGCGGUAAUACGGAGGAUGCGAGCGUUAUCCGGAUUUGUUGGGUUUAAAGGGUGCGUCGGGUGUUUUGUAAGUCCGCGGGGAAAGUUUGUGGCUCAACCAUUACAUUGCCGUUGAAACUGGAAGACUUGAGUGUGUGAGAGGUAGGCGGAAUGCGUGGUGUAGCGGUGAAAUGCAUAGAUAUCACGCAGAACUCUGAUUGCGAAGGCAGCUUACUAGGCCAUAACUGACGCUGAAGCACGAAAGCGUGGGGAUCGAACAGGAUUAGAUACCCCUGUAGUC
RNAcentral lists this ribosomal RNA (460 nucleotides) under uncultured bacterium. RNAcentral's name for it is "partial 16S ribosomal RNA". It matches the Rfam family "Bacterial small subunit ribosomal RNA", at positions 338 to 795 of the family's 1533-position model. The record is from RNAcentral.